GACGAACGCUGGCGGCGUGCUUAACACAUGCAAGUCGAACGGAAAGGCCCUGCUUUUGUGGGGUGCUCGAGUGGCGAACGGGUGAGUAACACGUGAGUAACCUGCCCUUGACUUUGGGAUAACUUCAGGAAACUGGGGCUAAUACCGGAUAGGAGCUCCUGCUGCAUGGUGGGGGUUGGAAAGUUUCGGCGGUUGGGGAUGGACUCGCGGCUUAUCAGCUUGUUGGUGGGGUAGUGGCUUACCAAGGCUUUGACGGGUAGCCGGCCUGAGAGUGUGACCGGCCACAGUGGGACAGAGAUACGGCCCAGAGCACUACGGGAGACAGCAGUGGGGAAUAUUGCACGAUGGACGGAAGCCUGAUGCAGCAACGCCGCGUGCGGGAUGACGACCUUCUGGUGGUAAACCGCUUUCGCGUGUGACGAAGCGUGAGUGACGGUAAUGUGUAAAGAAGCACCGGCUAACUACGUG
Molecule: ribosomal RNA, 468 nt
Filed under: uncultured bacterium
Lineage: Bacteria
Description: partial 16S ribosomal RNA
Rfam family: Bacterial small subunit ribosomal RNA
Source: RNAcentral